This 378-nucleotide ribosomal RNA is filed under the name Salmonella enterica subsp. enterica serovar Kiambu. Its description in RNAcentral is "partial 23S ribosomal RNA". It matches the Rfam family "Bacterial large subunit ribosomal RNA", at positions 711 to 1086 of the family's 2925-position model. Lineage: Bacteria; Pseudomonadati; Pseudomonadota; Gammaproteobacteria; Enterobacterales; Enterobacteriaceae. The record is from RNAcentral.
AGACCCGAAACCCGGUGAUCUAGCCAUGGGCAGGUUGAAGGUUGGGUAACACUAACUGGAGGACCGAACCGACUAAUGUUGAAAAAUUAGCGGAUGACCUGUGGCUGGGGGUGAAAGGCCAAUCAAACCGGGAGAUAGCUGGUUCUCCCCGAAAGCUAUUUAGGUAGCGCCUCGUGAAUUCAUCUCCGGGGGUAGAGCACUGUUUCGGCUAGGGGGCCAUCCCGGCUUACCAACCCGAUGCAAACUGCGAAUACCGGAGAAUGUUAUCACGGGAGACACACGGCGGGUGCUAACGUCCGUCGUGAAGAGGGAAACAACCCAGACCGCCAGCUAAGGUCCCAAAGUCAUGGUUAAGUGGGAAACGAUGUGGGAAGGCCC